Molecule: ribosomal RNA, 495 nt
Filed under: uncultured bacterium
Lineage: Bacteria
Description: partial 16S ribosomal RNA
Rfam family: Bacterial small subunit ribosomal RNA
Source: RNAcentral
GACGAACGCUGGCGGCGUGCCUAAUACAUGCAAGUCGAACGCUGAAGGAGGAGCUUGCUUCUCUGGAUGAGUUGCGAACGGGUGAGUAACGCGUAGGUAACCUGCCUGGUAGCGGGGGAUAACUAUUGGAAACGAUAGCUAAUACCGCAUAAGAGUAGAUGUUGCAUGACAUUUUCUUAAAAGGUGCCAUUGCAUCACUCCCAGAUGGACCUGCGUUGUAUUAGCUAGUUGGUGGGGUAACGGCUUACCAAGGUGACGAUACAUAGCCGACCUGGGAGGGUGAACGGCCAAAAUGGGACUGGGACAAGGCCCAGGAUCCUACGGGGAGCAGCAGGAGGGAAUCUUCGGAAAAGGACGGAAGUCUGACCGAGCAACGCCGCGGGAGUGAAGAAGGGUUUCGGAUCGUAAAGCUCUGUUAUAAGGGAAGAAAGAGUGUGAGGGUGGAAAGUUCACGCUGUGACGGUAUCUUACCAGAAAGAAACGGCUAACUACGUG